This is a long non-coding RNA of Oncorhynchus tshawytscha (Chinook salmon), 1330 nucleotides long. Lineage: Eukaryota; Metazoa; Chordata; Actinopteri; Salmoniformes; Salmonidae. The record is from Ensembl.
AGAAAAUAUGUUGCAGUUUCAGUUGUUGCUUGCUAACGGUGUUACCCAAAACACUUCAGACAUAAUUAGCUAGUUACCUUCAACUAGAGUUGCAACAAAGUUGUCCAGUGUAUAACGCUAGCCUAUUCAACAAAAGUCAUGACCGGUUAACAUUACCUCAGGCUCCAUUGCAUUGACUCGUGUUGCCUCCUCCGUUCAGUCGCUUUUGCUUGACUCCAAAGUCACCUAUGAUGAUGAUGGUUGGUCAGUAACCCCUAUAUCAAAACCCUCGGAAUCUCAAAUGGAGGCGCAACCAGAGUGCUUCAACGUUGCUCGAGCUGGGCCAUCCUUUCUCUUCAGGACAUGGAGCCACUUCUACACAAGUUGUGGGUCCUUGGGCAGCCGAUGGUAGUUUACUGAGGGAUUUGUUUUGAGCCAAUUCAUACAGCCUGGUGCUAUACAUUUCAUGUUUGAAUUAUUACUUGUUAUUGCCAUCUUCGUUGUCCGCACCUAACCUCACUCUCUUCGAUUUACUCUCCUCGCGAAAACUCAAUACCACAGACAAUUUGCUGAUUCCUGCCAGUGAUGCACUGGCAUCAGUCGUUACUGUGGCAAUUUAAAUGGCACUGACCAUAGCUCAAAUAAAAAUAUAGAGAUGUUUUUAUGUUUAUUGUAUUAGUGGGUUGAAUACAUCUCUUUGCCUAAAAAUGUACUUCCUAAAGUGUUUCCAUUCCCCUUUAAACAACACUCCAGACUCUGCCAGACCCCUAGUGGAGUGAUAAGUAACACUGCUAUAUGCCAGGGAGAUAGCCUCAACAGUGGGAGAGACGCUGCUUAGAGAGCGCCCUGACACGAGCUGGACUACAAAACAGACAAAAAGCAUAACCGGAUAUCCAUAGCAAAAAGGAAGAAAGGCAUAACCACAUAUCCAUAGCAAAAAGGAAGAAAGGCAUAACCGGAUAUCCAUAGCAAAAAAGGAAGAAAGGCAUAACCGGAUAUCCAUAGCAAAAAGGAAGAAAGGCAUAACCGGAUAUCCAUAGCAAAAAAGAAGAAAGGCAUAACCGGAUAUCCAUAGCAAAAAAGAAGAAAGGCAUAACCGGAUAUCCAUAGCAAAAAAGGAAGAAAGGCAUAACCGGAUAUCCAUAGCAAAAAGGAAGAAAGGCAUAACCGGAUAUCCAUAGCAAAAAGGAAGAAAGGCAUAACCACAUAUCCAUAGCAAAAAGGAAGAAAGGCAUAACCACAUAUCCAUAGCAAAAAGGAAGAAAGGCAUAACCACAUAUCCAUAGCAAAAAGGAAGAAAGGCAUAACCGGAUAUCCAUAGCAAAAAAGGAAGAAAGGCAUAACCGGAUAU